Molecule: RNA transcript, 2406 nt
Organism: Hordeum vulgare subsp. vulgare (domesticated barley)
Lineage: Eukaryota; Viridiplantae; Streptophyta; Magnoliopsida; Poales; Poaceae
Exons: 12
Source: RefSeq, a predicted model, not a curated record
CCGGCCCGGAACUUCGCGAUCCCAUCUGACUUUCUUUCUGCUCCAUUCGUGUUCACCACCACCACCACACCCGUCUCCCCGGAAACCCCACAGAACCCUGCAACCACCUCCGCGCGCCGCCGCUCGCCAUGGCUGCCGCCGCCGCCGGGGCAGGCGGCCGCCCGUGGCGCGUGAUCCCGCGGCCGGUUAUGGAGACCGUCCUCCACAACCACGCCCUCCACCCGCGCGUGCCGCAACCGCUGCUCCUCCACGGCCCCCGCGGCGUCGGCAAGUCCACGCUCCUCCUCAACCGCCUCCUCCCUCAGUGGUCCGAGCCCCCGCACUACGCCGCCUUCGUAGACUUCCUCCACCCCUCUCCCAGUUCCCCUGCUCAUGCGCCCUGGUCUCUCCUCGCCGACACGCCUCCUUCCCUGCCCUCCCUCCGCCUCCGGCUCGAGUCUGCGCUGGAGGAACUCACCCGCGCCGCUGUACUCCGAGGUGCCGUCGGUUCCAAGGACGUGCUCGCCGCGCUCUCGCGGUCCCACGGCCUCCACACCGUGCUCUCUCGCCUGGCGGGUCCUGCCUCCCGCCGCGGCCAGGCAACUAACUCGGUUCCGGUGCUCUGGGCGAGGGCUGUCCUAGCUGCAACCUCCUCGGCCCGUGGUGACGACCCCACCUUCCGCAUUGGCGAGGGGGAGGUACCGAACUGCUCCAUGGAGGAGAGGGCGUACAUGCAGGAGGCCAUGGCGGCGCUGCGGGUGGCCAAGGAAGUUCUCGGGAUGCAGGAGGGGUGGAGGAAGGAGGCGGUGCGGGAGAUGAACAGGACAGGCCGGUUCUCCCGUCCACUGGCCAAUUCAGCCACAGACUGGCCAUGCCUCCUGCUGGAUGUGUUGUCAGGCGCAGCCGAGGAGGAUUUUUUCCAGCCAAAGCUGGUGCUGAACAACGUCGAUGCCCUGAGGAAGGCGAUAUGCGAGGACGAUACAAUGGUGCCUGCAGCUGUGUACCAUGACAGCUUCAUUUGGAGGGUGAUAGCACUCGGUGCUAAUGAACAGUGCUUACCGGUCAUUAUGUCCACGUCAGAUGGAUACUAUUCUUCCCAAGCAUUCGUCGAUUUUGGUUUUCCUAAUAUCUUCAUUUCUCGUGAGACGUUUGGUUGGACACCACAAGAAGCUAAGCUGCAUAUGGUUUCUGAGUUCUUCAGUGAACAGGAGUGGAAAGUCGUUGAUGAGCUUCUUGGACCAAACCCACGACAAUUAUGUGAGAUAUAUAUGCUGAAACAGAAGGCGAAUGGCCCAGAGGUUUUGCAUGACACAAACAUUGAGGAAAUUAUUGACACAUACCUGGCACACUUGCAAGUAUCUGUUGUGAAUCCCGCAAUGCAAACAGCAUUAAGCAUGGUGCAGAAGUUUGCUUCUGAUGUACGUGAGGGUAAAGUACCAGAGAACAGAUUGUCUUUUGGCGCGCCUUGGAGACAUCCACCUCGGGCUGACAAUCCUGACAUGUGCUAUAAGUGGGCAAAGAUUCAACUGAUGGAUUUUGUCCAGUCUUUUGUAAACACAGAAUUUGGGUUGAAUUACCUAGCAGAUGAUAGCCUGGAAAUAUUGGACGAUCCUGCAGCAGUCGCCAUGAUGGAGGUUGGCUUACUUUAUCAACAGAGAGAUCCAUCCUUUGUGCGACCAAUCACACGUGGGGUUCAGCGUUGUCUUGCUAGAUGGCUUGUUCAGCAGAGAUUAGAGUUGACCGUUCAAGAAUCAAUAUCAUUCUCAUGGCAACGUGUAGUUCGUGGGCGAAGCUAUCGACACUUGAUGAAAGAAGUCGGCUACAAGUAACAAGUUUAUGCCAAGAAAAAGCAGGUUAAUUUCAUAAUGUGGAACUGACAUGUGAUUUUGAUGGACUUAUAUAAUAUGCAUAAGAACGUUUGAAGCAUAUAUGAUUUUGCAAUCACUCACAUGCACAUGACGCUGAGGAAUUUUGCAGGUCGCCAGAGGUGGACAGUGUUUUUAACUAGGAGAUCAAUCAUAGUGGUACUGUGGUUCAUUUAGUUCAUAUUUAUACAUCGUUUUGGAUGAAGAUUGCCGGCUUUCCAUGUCACGAACUGGGAAUCUCGCCCAAGUAGAACCGGAAGUCAACACUAAACCCGCUUUGUCUUGGACAUAUGCUGGCAAUGCAAUUUUUUUGCAGCAUAUUUCUGUAAGUAUAAAUAUAUGAUCAAAUUCUGGACCAGUUCAUGGUCUGACGUGCGCAUAAUACUACUGUCACUCAAAUUUUGCGGCAUGUUUCUGUAAUGGAGCAGAAUGAGCAUGUGCGCUGUGUCGUGUCAUCUGUGACUAGUUAGUGCCUUGCUUGGCUCUCUGGAACUGUGGCUGGUCUGCUGAAUGUAUGUUUGUCAGUAAUUCUUUUGGAAUAAGAGGGCGGCCCUUGACUUGA